AUAACCCAUUAAAAAGGGUGCUUGGAACCAAAAAUAGAUUUUUGUUUUGUAUGAUACCCAUCAUGACGAGACUGGCGAGGCCACCUCCAACGAGAUGAUGGACAUCUUCUACACCCAUGGUUCUCUUGUGGUCAUCUUGAGUGACCGAGGUCAUGAACGCUGGAACAAGAUAUCACUUUCCUAACCCCUCCUCCACAUUUGGACUAACCAGACCCUUGAUUGGUACCAGGAAGGGUGGGAAACCAACCUGAAGGUAAUUCUCUUUGCACACAAUAACAGCAUCCAGGCCUCCACUGAGUACGGACGUGAGCCGCAGCUGUUGACUGAGAUCACUGAAACCCCAACUGAUGUGGUGGAAGUUGUCUAACCAGAUCAGAACACUUUCGAGGAUCACCUUCAGGCACGGACUGAGAAGGAUGUGGAGGUUUUUGACCAGGAUCUUUGCUGUAACGUGACACUUCCUACGGCUCCCAUAGGCUCUCAGAACCUGGGAAAAAGCUGAAUGAUGUCGAGGCAGCCCCUGGCUGAAAAACAUUAGCGCCUUUGGUAAGUGGUCUAUCAGAGGACAAUGAGACUGAGGCGCGUGCACGAGGCGACCCCAUGUUUUUAUUUUCUCUCUCUUUGUACUAAAACACGGUUUCCCGGUCGGAAUAUUAUCGCUUUUUUACGAGAAAAAUUGCAUAAAAAUUGAUUUUAAACAGCGGUUGACAUGCUUCGAAGUACGGUAAUGGAAUAUUUAGAUUUUUUUGGGUCACGAAACGCGUCGGGCACUCUAAAC
RNAcentral lists this long non-coding RNA (778 nucleotides) under Salmo salar (Atlantic salmon). RNAcentral's name for it is "lncRNA (ENSSSAG00000088818.1)". The record is from RNAcentral. Lineage: Eukaryota; Metazoa; Chordata; Actinopteri; Salmoniformes; Salmonidae.